UAUUCUGCCCCAUGGGGAAGGAUGAGAAGCUUCGACUAAGGUUCAACUCGAGCGAAGCGAGAGAACGUUGCCGCAGGCAACGGCCCGAAGGGCGAGGCGCUUUAGCGCCGAGUAAUCCUUCCCCCACCACCA
This 132-nucleotide small RNA is filed under the name Klebsiella pneumoniae. RNAcentral describes it as "RtT sRNA". It matches the Rfam family "RtT RNA". Rfam says of the family: This family represents a bacterial cis-regulatory element known as RtT RNA. The exact function of RtT is unknown although it is thought that it may be involved in changing the cellular response in relation to amino acid starvation. RNAcentral also lists the same sequence under 1 other name. The record is from RNAcentral. Lineage: Bacteria; Pseudomonadati; Pseudomonadota; Gammaproteobacteria; Enterobacterales; Enterobacteriaceae.